GUCUAUCUCUGUGGGCAGAAGGAUGGAAUGAGUUACUGUGAUUGGCACUCCAUAGUGACAUGUCAUACCAAAGAUGACAUGGAGUAGAAAAAGGCUUCCUGAUAGCAAAGGAGGCUUGAUAUCAAAAGGAAGGUGAAGAGAAAUGGGUUGUUUCAUCUACAAGAUAACAACUGCUGGCCAUUCUAGGCCCUUUAAUGCAGGGACAGAGCCUUCUCAAAAGGGGGAGGUAAUCUCCAAGUCAAUAAAGAAUUUAUGCAGUUAGCCUCAUGCUUGGAGCAAGAAAGUACAGAAUUGUGAACACAUGAUUCUAGCCUUGAGAAGCAACAAGAAAAGCACUCCACAUCACCAGACUGUAAUACCAAGGGCCAGAUAUGGGUGUAGUUCUGGCUGUAAAUGCCUUGAGGGGAUCAAAAAGGUUUAUGAGAAUCCCUUGAUGGCUGAGGAAAGGACACGGAUUGAGGUGUGAGGUGGUUUUUAGGACUUAAAAUAUGGAGAGGAAAAAAUCAAGAACAGAUGUGAGGUAUGAAAGGUAGGGGUGGGGACGGAUUAAGUGGGGCUGAGGAAACAUGGUUUUGACUGUGGCAAAAUACAAAACAAAAAACCAUAACACUGAGAAACAUUUGAACAAAAUAUGGGUUAAUGGGUAUUCCAUCUUGAUUCAGGAAUGGACUUUUAAGUAUUAAAGCAGUAGGAAAAAUCAAAAAGAACAAGCUUGGCAUAUUUGACAUAAAAAAGUAAAUAUACACUUCAAAACAUCAUAAAGUUAAAAGGCAAAUUGGGGGAAAUAUUUCUAAUAUUAAGAUAUGUUAUGAUAAGAUAAACACAUACUUUUUUUUAAUAAAAGAAGAUUCAAUAGAAGAAUGAGCAGAGGACAUAAGCAGACAAUUUCCAAAAGGGAAAUGAACAACGGUGGAGCCUUCUUCACUCAAAAUGUAUCAAGGAGACACCGGCUCAACCCCGAUAUUCUGUUCUCUACCUUUGGGCUGCUAGGCUUGCAAUAAAACAGUUUAUUGAACCACAGACGAUGUUCAGGCAUUCAAUCAGCCCCUCAGAGGCCUUACAUCUGGCAGCAUCUUUCUCUAAAGCAAAUAAAUACCUUCUGCCUCCACUCAGGUGUACCCUAGCCUGAGCAGCCCCUCGGUAGCCCCGGGGGUCCAAAAAGAGGCUAGAAGCAGCCUCCUUCAGGACCAAAUGCUGCUCCCCUUCCUCCAGGUGCCACCCCACCAGAGCCAGGCCAGCCCAUUGUGCCCAAGGCUAGAUACAGACACUAAGAGUCUGAGCAAGCUGUCAUGAACCAAGAGGCCAUCGGGGCCUGCCCACCACCCUUGUAAGUGGCGGACACUGCCAGUUAUCAGGCUGGCAGCCUUGGAUCCACUGGUAAUUAUCACAGAUUACGUAACCAUUCUUAUUAAGGAGUGCUGCGCGGUGGCAGGGCCGUGCUGAACUCAGGCUGGGAUUCUGACUCUGAGACUUGCUGGCCCGUGCCUCACCUCUCGGAGCCUUGUUUCGUCAUCUGCUUCCUUAAAGACUUGGGGCCCCAUGUGAAGAAGGCCAUCUGACAUUGAACUGAGAAGCCCUCUACUUCUCCUAACUUCCUCCCACCAUGCAUUUUUAAUAGACAGCCUGAGAACCCUGAAGAUCCAUUUUCCAGAGAAAUCUACCAAGUCCAUGCAGACACAGAGAGGACUGCCAUCUGGGACAAGCAGGAGAAGACAGAGAGUCGGUGUCACUCCAGCCCCAAACAAGAGAAC
Non-coding RNA from Sus scrofa (pig), 1751 nucleotides. NCBI's taxonomy places the organism in Eukaryota, Metazoa, Chordata, Mammalia, Artiodactyla, Suidae. The record is from RefSeq and is a predicted model, not a curated record.